This 497-nucleotide ribosomal RNA is filed under the name uncultured bacterium. RNAcentral's name for it is "partial 16S ribosomal RNA". It matches the Rfam family "Bacterial small subunit ribosomal RNA", at positions 28 to 507 of the family's 1533-position model. The record is from RNAcentral.
GAUGAACGCUGGCGGCGUGCCUAAUACAUGCAAGUCGAGCGAACAGACGAGGAGCUUGCGCCUCUGACGUUAGCGGCGGACGGGUGAGUAACACGUGGAUAACCUACCUAUAAGACUGGGAUAACUUCGGGAAACCGGAGCUAAUACCGGAUAACAUGUUGAACCGCAUGGUUCAACAGUGAAAGACGGUUUUGCUGUCACUUAUAGAUGGAUCCGCGUCGCAUUAGCUAGUUGGUAAGGUAACGGCUUACCAAGGCAACGAUGCGUAGCCGACCUGAGAGGGUGAUCGGCCACACUGGAACUGAGACACGGUCCAGACUCCUACGGGAGGCAGCAGUAGGGAAUCUUCCGCAAUGGGCGAAAGCCUGACGGAGCAACGCCGCGUGAGUGAAGAAGGUCUUCGGAUCGUAAAACUCUGUUAUUAGGGAAGAACAAAUGUGUAAGUAACUAUGCACGUCUUGACGGUACCUAAUCAGAAAGCCACGGCUAACUACGUG